UUGUCAGGCAAUGACUUGUUGGCAGAAAAAGCGUGGUCCUUGGUAGCCAUGACAAGAAGGAGGUCCCAUAAAUGGGGCUGGGCUGUUUGUUGCUGGCAGGUAAAAGAAAAAACACAGAGAAAAAUGAAAAUCAGGGGAAGUCCAGGCCUUGGAAUUUUCACUCCAAGGUCCCCUGCCUGGACCUCCCCCUAGCAGAUGAACAUAGAGAGGUAGGGUAGGUGAGGUGAGCGUAGGGCUCGAACCCGGGCCUCUAUGUUACUAAGCUGCUAGCCCGCCACAUGUGGCCACAUGACGGGCAAACAAAAGCGGGAAAAUUCCUCUAUUUAAAGACCACAACGCGCACAUCACGCACCCAGCCUUUUGGAAAUGAGCUGGAGACCAGGCAUUUUUGCACUCCAAUACUUAGUAAAUUUCACACACUCACACCUGAUUUUUUCCCUGCACACCUCUUUGGUUUGGGCCUGUUUUCUUCCUUCGUUGAUAUAUGUGUAACUGAUACAUGAGAUUGGCCCUUACCGCUGUAUGGACUGAUAUAUAGGGUGCCUUAAAGGCCGCCUUAAAACUAAGUGUUUCCCUGAGCUUUUAAUUGCGGCUUGAAAAAAGUAAAAAGAAAUGAAAAAAAAAGAGAGAGAGAAAAAUGGAGGCAGGCUUGAGCUUCGUCUUUCACUCUGGGCCUACCCUGCUCUAGCAGACGGACUACUAUCAGAGACUCGAACUAGGGUCGUUAAACUCUGGAGUCCGAAUGCUGGCCUCUUAACGCUGUACACCACUCAGCAGGGCGAGUAAAUUUCGGAAAAAAAAGGACAUUUAUCUUUUGUUCUUCAAUUUUUUAUUUUUUUUUUGUUAUCGUUUUUCUAAAUCUAUUAAGCUUCUUGUGCAAUAUUGUUCCACACAAAUUACACAUGGACACCUAGCUAUUUUUUUAUUGGCAUUCACAAAAUGGGACUGGAUGUUGGAGGGCUUACCAAAGCCUUCCUGCUACCCGAAUCCCUGCUUGGAAACCUGCUGGCGGCAGCGGCACCAUGUUUUCACCACACUCUUCAGCUUCAGCUGUCUUUUUUGCCUCAUGGCUAUACCCACACUGACCACUCCUUCAAUGAAGAGCUGGGAUGCUCAUCUUCUGAUGGAGCGCUCUCGAGCUGUGAUGGGUCCAGAUAUCAGCGC
This is a long non-coding RNA of Oreochromis aureus, 1164 nucleotides long. NCBI's taxonomy places the organism in Eukaryota, Metazoa, Chordata, Actinopteri, Cichliformes, Cichlidae. The record is from Ensembl.